GACGUAGGGCGCGAGCGUUGUCUGGAUUUAUUGGGCGUAAAGAGCUCGUAGGCGGCUCGUUGCGUCAACCGUGAAAACUCGAGGCUCAACCUCGGGCUUGCAGUGGGUACGGGCAGACUAGAGUGCGGUAGGGGAGACUGGAAUUCCUGGUGUAGCGGUGGAAUGCGCAGAUAUCAGGAGGAACACCGAUGGCGAAGGCAGGUCUCUGGGCCGCAACUGACGCUGAGGAGCGAAAGCAUGGGGAGCGAACAGG
This 253-nucleotide ribosomal RNA is filed under the name uncultured bacterium. RNAcentral describes it as "partial 16S ribosomal RNA". It matches the Rfam family "Bacterial small subunit ribosomal RNA", at positions 524 to 776 of the family's 1533-position model. The record is from RNAcentral.